GGUCCCGUGGUGUAGUGGUUUAACACGCCUCCCUGUCAAGGAGGAGAUCGUCAGUUCAAAUCUGAUCGGGAUCGCCA
This 77-nucleotide transfer RNA is filed under the name Chloroflexota bacterium. RNAcentral's name for it is "tRNA-Asp". It matches the Rfam family "tRNA". From Rfam's summary of the family: Transfer RNA (tRNA) molecules are approximately 80 nucleotides in length. Their secondary structure includes four short double-helical elements and three loops (D, anti-codon, and T loops). Lineage: Bacteria; Bacillati; Chloroflexota. RNAcentral also lists the same sequence under 1 other name. The record is from RNAcentral.